Molecule: ribosomal RNA, 261 nt
Filed under: uncultured archaeon
Lineage: Archaea
Description: partial 16S ribosomal RNA
Rfam family: Archaeal small subunit ribosomal RNA
Source: RNAcentral
UAGCCGUAAACGGUACUCGCUAGGUGUCGGCCACGGUGCGACCGUUGUCGGUGCCGUAGGGAAGCCGUGAAGCGAGCCACCUGGGAAGUACGGCCGCAAGGCUGAAACUUAAAGGAAUUGGCGGGGGAGCACAACAACGGGUGGAGCUUGCGGUUUAAUUGGAUUCAACGCCGGACAACUCACCAGGAGCGACGGUUACAUGAAGGCCAGGCUGAUGACCUUGCCUGAUUUUCCGAGAGGUGGUGCAUGGCGUAGUCGUGU